UCAAGUGUUUAAGGGCAUACGGUGGAUGCCUUGGCAUCAGGAGCCGAUGAAGGACGUGGGAGCCUGCGAUAUGCCUCGGGGAGUCGGCAACCAGACUGUGAUCCGGGGAUUUCCGAAUGGGGAAACCUGGCACCCGUCAUGGGGUGUCGCCGCCGGUUGAAUGUAUAGGCCGGUUGGUGGGAACGCGGGGAAGUGAAACAUCUCAGUACCCGCAGGAAGAGAAAACAAUAGUGAUUCCGUGAGUAGUGGUGAGCGAAAGCGGAUGAGCCUAAACCGUGCGCGUGUGAUAGCCGGCAGGUGUUGCGUGUGCGGGGUUGUGGGAGCAUCCGGAUCUGGCUGCCGCCGGGUCGAGGAGUUAUAAACCGCUUGGGUAGUUGAACGGCUUGGGAUGGCCGACCGUAGACGGUGAGAGUCCGGUAGACGAAACUCAUAGUGGCUUCUGGGUGUUUUCCCGAGUAGCACGGGGCCCGUGAAAUCCCGUGUGAAUCUGCCACGACCACGUGGUAAGGCUGAAUACUUCCUGAUGACCGAUAGCGGACCAGUACCGUGAGGGAAAGGUGAAAAGUGCCCCGGUGAGGGGUCGUGAAAUAGUACCUGAAACCGUGUGCCUACAAGCCGUCAGAGCGUCCCCAACACUUUCGGGUGUUGUUCGUGAUGGCGUGCCUUUUGAAGAAUGAGCCUGCGAGUUAUGGUGUGUGGCGAGGUUAACCGGUGUCGGGUAGCCGUAGCGAAAGCGAGUCUGAAUAGGGCGCCGUGGCCAUUUCGGUGGUCGGGUAGUCGCAUGCUGUAGACCCGAAGCGGGGUGAUCUAGCCAUGGGCAGGGUGAAGCGCCGGUAAGACGGUGUGGAGGCCCGAACCCACCAGGGUUGAAAACCUGGGGGAUGACCUGUGGUUAGGGGUGAAAGGCCAAUCAAACUCCGUGAUAGCUGGUUCUCCCCGAAAUGCAUUUAGGUGCAGCGUCGCGUGUUUCUUGCCGGAGGUAGAGCUACUGGAUGGCUGAUGGGCCUGACCGGGUUACUGACGUCAGCCAAACUCCGAAUGCCGGUAAGUGAGAGCGUGGCAGUGAGACUGCGGGGGAUAAGCUUCGUAGUCGAGAGGGAAACAGCCCAGAUCAUCGGUUAAGGCCCCUAAGCGUGUGCUAAGUGGGAAAGGAUGUGGAGUUGCUGUGACAACCAGGAGGUUGGCUUAGAAGCAGCCACCCUUGAAAGAGUGCGUAAUAGCUCACUGGUCAAGUGAUUCCGCGCCGACAAUGUAGCGGGGCUCAAGCACACCGCCGAAACCGUGGCACUCCAGCGUUUCGUUGGGGUGGGUAGGGGAGCGUCCUGCAAGCCGGUGAAGCCGUCGGGUGACUGUGCGGUGGAGGUUGCGGGAGUGAGAAUGCAGGCAUGAGUAGCGCAUCACACGUGAGAAUCGUGUGCGCCGGAUGACCAAGGGUUCCUGGGGCAGGCUGUUCCGCCCAGGGUAAGUCGGGACCUAAGGCGAGGCCGACAGGCGUAGUCGAUGGACAACGGGUUGAUAUUCCCGUACCCGCUGGUAUGCGCCAACGCUGAACCCGCUGAUGCUAACCGCCCGAUCCCGCUUUGAGACCUUCGGGUCUUGGAACCGGGGGAGCGCGGGGCCCGAGGUGGUAGUAGGUGAGUGAUGGGGUGACGCAGGAGGGUAGCUCAGCCCAGGCGGUGGUUGUCCUGGGGUAAGCAUGUAGCCCGUGCCAUAGGCAAAUCCGUGGCACAUCAGGGUGAGGUGUGAUGCCGAGCCGUUUUAGGCGAAGUGAGUGAUCCCAUGCUGCCGAGAAAAGCCUCUAGCGAGUGUACCGGCGGCCCGUACCCUAAACCGACUCAGGUGGUCAGGUAGAGAAUACCAAGGCGAUCGGGUGAACUGUGGUCAAGGAACUCGGCAAAUUGCCCCCGUAACUUUGGGAGAAGGGGGACCAUUCCUGGUGAACACCUGUGCGGUGGGAGCUGGGGGUGGUCGCAGAGGCCAGGGGGAAGCGACUGUUUACUAAAAACACAGGUCCGUGCGAAGUCGUAAGACGCUGUAUACGGACUGACGCCUGCCCGGUGCCGGAACGUUAAGAGGACCGGUUAGAGGGACUUGUUCCUUCGAGGCUGAGAAUCUAAGCGCCGGUAAACGGCGGUGGUAACUAUAACCAUCCUAAGGUAGCGAAAUUCCUUGUCGGGUAAGUUCCGACCUGCACGAAUGGCGUAACGACUUCCCCGCUGUCUCGACCACAGGCCCGGCGAAAUUGCAGUACGAGUAAAGAUGCUCGUUUCGCGCAGCAGGACGGAAAGACCCCGGGACCUUCACUAUAGCUUGGCAUUGGCGUUUGGAGCGUCUUGUGUAGGAUAGGUGGGAGACUGUGAAGCUGGUACGCCAGUACUGGUGGAGUCGCUGGUGAAAUACCACUCUGGUUGUUUUGAGCGUCUAACCCGCGCCCGUGGAUCCGGGUGGGGGACAGUGCCUGGUGGGUAGUUUAACUGGGGCGGUUGCCUCCUAAAGGGUAACGGAGGCGCCCAAAGGUUCCCUCAGCCUGGUUGGUCAUCAGGUGGUGAGUGCAAGGGCACAAGGGAGCUUGACUGUGAGACGGACGUGUCGAGCAGGUGCGAAAGCAGGGCCUAGUGAUCCGGCACCGGCGUGUGGAAGCGGUGUCGCUCAACGGCUAAAAGGUACCCCGGGGAUAACAGGCUGAUCUUCCCCAAGAGUCCAUAUCGACGGGAUGGUUUGGCACCUCGAUGUCGGCUCGUCGCAUCCUGGGGCUGGAGUAGGUCCCAAGGGUUGGGCUGUUCGCCCAUUAAAGCGGCACGCGAGCUGGGUUUAGAACGUCGCGAGACAGUUCGGUCCCUAUCCGCUGCGCGCGUUGGAGAAUUGUGGGGGUCUGUCCCUAGUACGAGAGGACCGGGACGGACGAACCUCUGGUGUGCCAGUUGUUCCGCCAGGAGCACGGCUGGUUGGCUACGUUCGGCAGGGAUAACCGCUGAAAGCAUCUAAGCGGGAAGCCUUCCUCGAGAUGAGUUCUCCCACCCCCUUGGGGGUGUAAGGCUCCCAGUAGACGACUGGGUUGAUAGGCCGGGGAUGGAAGCACCGCAAGGUGUGGAGUCGACCGGUACUAAUAGGCCGAGUGGCUUGAGCAC
RNAcentral lists this ribosomal RNA (3128 nucleotides) under Actinomadura rubteroloni. RNAcentral describes it as "bacterial LSU rRNA". It matches the Rfam family "Bacterial large subunit ribosomal RNA". The record is from RNAcentral. Lineage: Bacteria; Bacillati; Actinomycetota; Actinomycetes; Streptosporangiales; Thermomonosporaceae.